GUCCAGGAGGGCGAAUGCGAUCACUCAGUCAAAGUAGUUACAACAGUUCAUUUGCCAUGAUCCAAAUGAAACAGAUGUCAUUCUUCUGCAGUGUUCGCCUGUUCAUCCGCCUUACUGGGCACCAUGCACUGUGAAUCAAACUUUUGACAGUAUUAGCUGUGCCGGUUCGUUUACUGAAACUCCUAUUCUAUCCCGAAAGCAGUCACUAUUUGACUCUAAGUCUGAAAACAACCAAUCCAAAUCAAGGCCCUCAUCUUUAGUUAUGAAUAAUUCCAGUGAAUUAGAAGCAAUCCUUUCGCCUCCAUUUAAUGCUUCUCGUUCUAUAUCAAUUGAUAGCAGUUAUAAUAAACAAAUGAUCCACUCGCAGAACAAUACAAAAAAGAUAAAUGGUGGUAUCACUCCAACGUUAACCAUUACACCUGCAGCAAGUAUGGAACAGCUAAGCUCAACUAAUCAAGCAAUGGAACCAUCUGAUGAUGAAAGUACACCAUUAGUUUCGAAUAUUCCGUCUCCUUUGUCCGACUCCAGCUCUAAUUGCAGAACAGCAAACCAGCGAGUCAGCACCAGCAACAGUCAACAGUCUCAGAACUGUCAUCCCCUGUCUCAAUUAUUUCAUCACAAUCAUCCAAACCGAACCGAGGAGGAGAGAUGUGCGAAUCACAUUAUGAUUUUUUUGUUUACAACGAACGUCGAGACAGUGAUAGAAGCUCUGAAAAUAGUCCGAAGAAAAGUUAUUCUUUGAGAAGGCAAGAUUCAUUGCAUGGUGAUAGCAUUGAAGACAUCCCGUGGGACCCAGAAACUUCUGUUUAGAUUUUUUAAGCUGCUUUUGCUUAUAAACCACUCAUUUUUAAAUAUUCAGUUUUGGCUCUUUAAAAUUAUUGACGAAUAAAGCACUUAUUGCAUUAUAAUAGAUGGCUUAUCUAAGGUAAAAGCUUUUCUUGCAAUUCUUAUAACAAAUGAAAAAAUCUAAAAUAAAAUGCCUUUGUGAAACUAAGCUAGCAAAAAGACCCGACGCCCAUCCUAAACCAUGCUUUGGGUGCCAUUAUUGUUUAGAUAUCAGCUCGAUGUUGUCAUAGAUAAUUCAAAAUAUCCAAUUCCUCUUUAACCAACAAGGUUUUUCUUCCCAGUAAAAAUUGUACGGCCCCUAUAAGCCGUCGCAUCGAUGAGCUGGUGAGCCAUUUAAACGAAUUAGCACUAGUAUACAUGUAUUCUAGAGGCAAGUUGAAAUCAAAAAGCGCUGCCUAUCGGCUGAGCGCUUAAUUGUCAAUUGACAAAACAUUGAAAACAUUGUAACAUUUGGUCUCUUAUGUAAUUUCGAUAGGUAUUUUAAGUUGUGAAAUAUUUUGUUGGAUAUCAAUAUUUAAAGAUUAAAAAUGUCUGGUUUCGCUGCCAACACUGAGGCACUAAGUUCAAUUCCCGGUGGUGACAAAUUUUCAAAGACACCUCAUAAUCCAUCGUCUUGACUGUGGGUGACAAUGCCACUCCACCACCCAGCUUGUCCCUUAGAUGCAGCAGGGUAGGGAGGGACAUCGUAAUCUGGUACAAGUUAGUUUGCACUGUUCGCCUGUGUUGUAAUUCAAAUGUGGAUCAGUAGGAGAUUGAAACAACAGAGCCCGACUCAGUGGUGACGCGGCCGUGUUCCAAAUGAUUCCAUGCUGAGUCUUCUAGAGUUAUCAAUACAACCUAUUGUUGGCUUAAAAAAUGGCUGCUGGGCCUUUCAGGAAUAUGUAUGUGUCAAUCUUAUGAAUCAAGUAGCUUGGCCCAACUUUAGGGUGCACAACUUCCGUUAUACCUGUGCCUAAGCUCUUAGAUGGUGUCUUUGCCAGUCAAAUUGGCGACUACUACUACACUACUACAUUUCAGGUACCAGGACAGUGUGCAAAAAUUAACUAGCCUAAUUCUCAUCCAUUUUACUAUCUAAGUUAAGAUCACCCAUUGAUGUUGUCGAAGUCUCUCUAGGACUACUAGCUGCAAUUUGUGGGCCCACUGGAGAGCCGCUAGUAGUCAUCAGAGGUAUCUGUAAUUUAUUCCACGCUUCUUGAUAUUUGGACUGCGUUUUGCAGAAAGGAACUAAGUCACAUCAACUAUUGCUAAAUUUAAUUUUUUACAAGAGAAUGUUUGAGCGAAUUUAUUUGAAAACUUUAAGAAAUUUGCUUCAUACUAUGCAGAACAUUCACUGAAAUUUGCACUAAAAUCCGCACAACCGUUUUCAUGUAAAAAUUUAAUUGCCUGAUCAAAUUUGGCAACAGCUAUUGUGGCUUGUUCCUUUCUUCUUAACGCGGUCCCCUUAUUCAACAGCAUAUUCAGAAAGUGCUGUCACCGUUCAUUUCUGUCCUUAAACUGAAAACAGUUGAUCUAUAUUUCUGCAUCCUAACGGUAAUCAAGAUCUAGUAGCAUACUCCUUAAAUAAGCCUGAAUUUGAACAAAGGAUGUAGGUAACCCUGGAAUUGAUUUUAUCUGGAGGAAGCUUGUAGCAUGAUAAGUUUCGAUUCUCAAAGUCUUUAGUUUAAAACAAUAUCUUUGUUGUUUAAAUAUUUUAUAAUUGUUACUUUAGAAGGGGAUUUGCCAGGAUAGAUUUUUGACUUUAUUUUGGAAAAUGAGAUAUACUGUGAUAUUUUUUAUGCAACCUUUAUUUUUUUCAUUUAAGCAAUUUUCUAGGAUUAUCGAAUUUUUAUUUUUACGUCGAUUCAUUGAAGAAUUUAUCUUUUAGGAUUUCCGUGUAAGCUUUUAUUAGUGUUUUCCAUCUUAUCCUAUCAUACCUUUUGGCCCAUGAAAAUUGUAUUCCUUUGGAAAUUUCGAAUAUCUCUUGUUGAAACAUAAUGAUUCAAAGUAAUCUUUGAAACUUUUCAAUGUACACCCUUUACAUGUUCUGAACUCUAGUUUUCAUCAUCAAUGUCUCAUGUUGUAACUACCAUGUUGUAACACCUAUGCAGGUCGAUGAUCGAAAAUUUAGUACCCUAUUUAAACAGUUUUGAAUUACUAUUCGGGAUCACAGUGACUUAAUUUUGUUGUACCCUGCAAUACCUUACAUUCAUUUAUCAAAAUUCCUCAAUAACCUAGCUCUUUCCCAGUAGAAUUUUAUAUUCAGUGUUGACAAUAAUCCUAUGAGAUAUCUUGCAGUCCCUUGAACUGGAAAAACAAAUUGAUUCAGAGGGUUAUCAUUAUUUUUUGAAACUUAAAAUGUAAUCUCGGAAGUCUUGGAUGGAAGAGAGGUAUCAAACUUGAAGUCACGCCAGAAAUUUCUGUGAAUUCUGUCAAGUCGCCCCAGCUCAAUUUAUUUCUGAAACUACGACUGGAUUGAAUGUGUUAGUGUCAAUUUUACCUGCUGUCACUUUUUUUGCCGCAAGAAUGUGUGUUGGUACCUUCUCCACUCAGAUUGUCAUUACCUACAGCAUAAUUUUUGCCCUUAAAUCAAGGUAAUGAAUACAACUUAUGAUGAGUGUCCUGAUUUGUAAUUUUCUCGCCUUAUCCCUCUCUCUUUUCUCUAAUAUUAUUAAUGAUGAAAGUGAAUGCUCAUAUUGCAAUUAAUGUAACAUUCUGAAGUGACACUUUUCAAGAUAUCUAAAAUUUUUACUUCAUAAUUGACUGAAUGGAAUUUUUACAACAUUUCAUAAACCUGUAUGAAGUUUCCAUUUAUUCCGGUUAACCUCCUACCAAUCCACCCCUUCCUUUUUUCUUUUCUUUUGAAUAAUUAUUCAAGCAUCUCAGCAUCAGCAAUUAUUUUAGAAUUUAUUGAACAAAAAAGUACUUCUUGUGUCAUUGAAUGGUGCAUGCUCGGAUGAUUUUAUCUACAACUUGAUGUGUCAUUGUAGUAUUGUAAUAAUAGUAUUUGUUUAAAUUAUAUAUUAAUAAAGACUCAUUUUUAUGUAUCCAAUGUGGUUGUGCAUUUCACACUCAUAUGCCUCAGAUUCUAAGUAGAUAAAAUAACUUACAAUUUAAGAUAAGGGGGACUAAUAAUCUUUUAAAAAGAGGAAUGGCUGGCGGCUUACCGUAAAUAACCUCAGGAAAAGUUAC
This 4014-nucleotide long non-coding RNA is filed under the name Bemisia tabaci. Its description in RNAcentral is "lncRNA ENSSSA3NGG001742". Lineage: Eukaryota; Metazoa; Arthropoda; Insecta; Hemiptera; Aleyrodidae. The record is from RNAcentral.